CGAGGGGGCAAUGGCGGCUUCAUGUGUCCUCCUGCACACUGGGCAGAAGAUGCCCCUGAUUGGCCUGGCACCUGGAAGAGCGAUCCUGGCCAGGUGGAAUGUCACCCAUACUUGGCUCAGAAGGAGCUGAUUGCCCACUGCCAAGCUCGCGGCCUGGAGGUGACCGGUUAUAGCCCUCUGGGCUCCUCUGAUCGAGCUUGGCGUGAUCCUGAUGAACUGGUCCUACCUGAGGAGCCAGUGGUCCUGGCCCUGGCUGAAAAGUAUGGCCGGUCUCCGGCUCAGAUCCUGCUCAGGUGGCAGGUCCAGUGGAAAGUGAUCUGCAUCCCCAAGAGUAUCACCCCUUCACGUAUCCUCCAGAAUAUCCAGGUGUUUGGCUUUACCUUUAGCCCAGAUGAGAUGAAGCAACUAGAUGCUCUGAAUAAAAAUUGGCGAUACAUUGUGCCCAUGCUCACAGUGGAUGGGAAGAGGGUCCCGAGAGAUGCAGGGCACCCUCUGUACCCCUAUAAUGACCCAUAUUGAGACCACCGCUUCCUGGUUCCUUCCCAGCUCUCUAGCUACAAGGUCCUGCCACCCGCAGAAAGGAGUUAAUAAAGCCAUUGGAGCAUCCACACUAAAAAAAAAAAAAAAAAAAAAAAAAAAA
Molecule: non-coding RNA, 640 nt
Organism: Callorhinus ursinus (northern fur seal)
Lineage: Eukaryota; Metazoa; Chordata; Mammalia; Carnivora; Otariidae
Source: RefSeq, a predicted model, not a curated record